GACGAACGCUGGCGGCGUGCUUAACACAUGCAAGUCGAACGGUAAGGCUCCAGCUUGCUGGGGUACACGAGUGGCGAACGGGUGAGUAACACGUGGGUGACCUGCCCUGCACUUCGGGAUAAGCCUGGGAAACUGGGUCUAAUACCGGAUAGGACUGCACCGUGAGGGUGUGGUGGAAAGUUUUUUCGGUGUGGGAUGGGCCCGCGGCCUAUCAGCUUGUUGGUGGGGUAAUGGCCUACCAAGGCGGCGACGGGUAGCCGGCCUGAGAGGGUGGACGGCCACAUUGGGACUGAGACACGGCCCAGACUCCUACGGGAGGCAGCAGUGGGGAAUAUUGCACAAUGGGCGGAAGCCUGAUGCAGCGACGCCGCGUGGGGGAUGACGGCCUUCGGGUUGUAAACUCCUUUCACCAUCGACGAAAGGUUUCUGACGGUAGAUGGAGAAGAAGCACCGGCUAACUACGUGCCAGCAGCCGCGGUAAUACGUAGGGUGCGAGCGUUGUCCGGAAUUACUGGGCGUAAAGAGCUCGUAGGUGGUUUGUCGCGUCGUCUGUGAAUUCCGGGGCUUAACUCCGGGCGUGCAGGCGAUACGGGCAUAACUUGAGUACUGUAGGGGAGACUGGAAUUCCUGGUGUAGCGGUGAAAUGCGCAGAUAUCAGGAGGAACACCGGUGGCGAAGGCGGGUCUCUGGGCAGUAACUGACGCUGAGGAGCGAAAGCAUGGGGAGCGAACAGGAUUAGAUACCCUGGUAGUCCAUGCCGUAAACGGUGGGCGCUAGGUGUGGGUUUCCUUCCACGGGAUCCGUGCCGUAGCUAACGCAUUAAGCGCCCCGCCUGGGGAGUACGGCCGCAAGGCUAAAACUCAAAGGAAUUGACGGGGGCCCGCACAAGCGGCGGAGCAUGUGGAUUAAUUCGAUGCAACGCGAAGAACCUUACCUGGGCUUGACAUAUACAGGAUCGCGCCAGAGAUGGUGUUUCCCUUGUGGCUUGUAUACAGGUGGUGCAUGGUUGUCAUCAGCUCGUGUCGUGAGAUGUUGGGUUAAGUCCCGCAACGAGCGCAACCCUUGUCUUAUGUUGCCAGCACGUUGUGGUGGGGACUCGUAAGAAACUGCCGGGGUUAACUCGGAGGAAGGUGGGGAUGACGUCAAAUCAUCAUGCCCCUUAUGUCCAGGGCUUCACACAUGCUACAAUGGUCGGUACAGUGGGUUGCCAGUCCGUGAGGGCGAGCUAAUCCCGCAAAGCCGGUCUCAGUUCGGAUCGGGGUCUGCAACUCGACCCCGUGAAGUCGGAGUCGCUAGUAAUCGCAGAUCAGCAACGCUGCGGUGAAUACGUUCCCGGGCCU
Molecule: ribosomal RNA, 1340 nt
Filed under: uncultured bacterium
Lineage: Bacteria
Description: partial 16S ribosomal RNA
Rfam family: Bacterial small subunit ribosomal RNA
Source: RNAcentral